This 496-nucleotide long non-coding RNA is filed under the name Varanus komodoensis (Komodo dragon). RNAcentral describes it as "lncRNA (ENSVKKG00000018284.1)". Lineage: Eukaryota; Metazoa; Chordata; Lepidosauria; Squamata; Varanidae. The record is from RNAcentral.
AGGUGGCUUGGCACUGGCACAAGUCCUGUUUUUUUAUGUGAAGUACCUUGUUCUCUUUGGAGUUCCCAUACUUGUUAUCCGAAUGGAUGGACUCAGGCCUCCUCAUUUACCUCGCUGUGUAAGCACCAUGUACAGUUUUUCUGGAAUGUGGAGGAGCUUUGAUGUUGGACUGCAUAGGUUUCUUAUUAGCAAACAUAAAGGCUGAAUGGCCUCCGUCUGCUUCCCAGAAUGUAGGUGCUGUUAUAACAACAUAACAAUAUGGCAGUGAUUUACAGUGAGUAUAAGAAAAUGGGCUUUUGGUCAGCUCCUGUAGAGCAAUUUAUUCAGACAUCAAUCAAACUGGGUACAAGAAAUCUCACUUCCAGGUAAGCGUGCAUAAGAUUGCCGCCUUACACAUUUAAUUAGCUGAUGUUAUGUUGCUCAGUUUGACCCAAGCUGGCAAAAAAAUCUUGCUUUUGCUUGGUCUGGCCUGGCUCAGAGAUCCAUUUAAAUAGCU